Molecule: transfer RNA, 76 nt
Filed under: candidate division WS1 bacterium
Lineage: Bacteria; Bacillati
Description: tRNA-Thr
Rfam family: tRNA
About the family: Transfer RNA (tRNA) molecules are approximately 80 nucleotides in length. Their secondary structure includes four short double-helical elements and three loops (D, anti-codon, and T loops). Further hydrogen bonds mediate the characteristic L-shaped molecular structure. tRNAs have two regions of fundamental functional importance: the anti-codon, which is responsible for specific mRNA codon recognition, and the 3' end, to which the tRNAs corresponding amino acid is attached (by aminoacyl-tRNA synthetases). tRNAs cope with the degeneracy of the genetic code in two manners: having more than one tRNA (with a specific anti-codon) for a particular amino acid; and 'wobble' base-pairing, i.e. permitting non-standard base-pairing at the 3rd anti-codon position.
Source: RNAcentral
GCCGACGUAGCUCAAUUGGCAGAGCAGCUGAAUCGUAAUCAGCAGGUUACCGGUUCGACUCCGGUCGUCGGCUCCA